CCUCUCUCUCCCUCAUCCCCUUUCAAUACUCCCCACAUCCAGGUGGACACACCUUUUGCAAGAAAAGAACACUAUGCUAAAACCAGAUUUGGAGAUUAGGGAUCGGGGAAGAUUCUCCCCUUCUCUUGUUCAAAUGAAUGGACUGAACUCUCCCUCUCCCCUCCCCUGAGAAGAUUCAAAGGUAAUGCCCUUAUCCACUAGGGUACCUAACAAGGAGGAGAGAGUACUGACAUGACUCAGAGCAUCAGGAGAGGAAGCAUCAGGCCUGGGAAUUACAGAUGCUAAGAACUGGAAUGUCGAAGCAUGAAGUAACUAUGGAAGCUCUCAAUUUUGCAUUUUGAGAAGUGGAAAAGAUAGGAGUCCAUAAGCUUCACCAGACUGUUAAAGACAUUCACGACACCCUAAAAAAAGUUAAGAACACCUGAUAUAAUGAGAAAAACAUGAAACCUGGGGUCAAAACAAAGAUAUGCUGGAUUCCUGUUUCUCAUCUUGCUAGUCAUAUGACCUUCAGCAACUUACUUUACCACCCUGAGCUUCAUUUUCUUCAUUAACCUGCUGCAGAGACAACUACUAAUAGAUUUAGAUAAUACUGUCUAUGUGAUCUUGGGUAAAUAAUCUAAACAGUGCCUUAGUUUAUUCAUCUUCAAAAUGAGGAGGUUGAGUUAGCUGAUGUUUACUUCUGAUUCUUAAUCUGUGAUUAUCUAAUCCAAGUGCCCAGGUUUCCUAUAAAAUGGAGAUAAUAUUUAUGCCUGUAGCAUCUUCCUCACAAGGUUGUUGUAAGGUUGGAAUGAAAUAAUGUAUGUAUGACAGCUUGUAUAAAUGCCAGCAAUUUAUUAUUGUUAUUGUUAGUAAUGAUGGUGAUGAUGGUGAUGAUGAUGAUGAUGAUGAUGAUGAUGAAGACGAUGAUGAUGAUAUGUUUAUCCCCUGGACAUUGACCUGUAACCAUUUACUGUACAAACACGUCAGGUACCUGUUUUGUGUACUAGAAGAAAAAAACAUGGACUACAUUUACAAAAAGAUAUUUCCUUCUUGUAUUUCAAAGCAGAAGCUUUGUUAUUAGUGUAAACUACUGAGGCUCUUUCCACCACUAAAUCUAUGACUGUAUGAUUCAUUGAAUGAUUCCCCAAACCAAGAAACCAUUUCUUGAUUUAAAAGGUACCUGCGUUUAGAAGCUGGAACAGGUGAGUGACAAUGCCGCAUUUGUCUUUAAAGCAUCAAAGCAUGUGCAGGCUAGCCAUUGCCCUUGACAUUCCCGACCUGUUCAAAAAGCUCCUUGGAGUCUGCCAAUUAGACAAGAAUCAUUUUCUUUGCUGAAAAUAAAGGUGCCUUGGUGGCGGUGUUUAGUCA
Molecule: long non-coding RNA, 1347 nt
Organism: Phascolarctos cinereus (koala)
Lineage: Eukaryota; Metazoa; Chordata; Mammalia; Diprotodontia; Phascolarctidae
Source: RefSeq, a predicted model, not a curated record